UACGUAGGCGGAUUAAUAAGUCAGUGGUGAAAUCUUUCGGCUCAACCGAGAAACUGCCAUUGAUACUGUUAAUCUUGAGUUCGGUUGAGGUAGGCGGAAUGUGUAAUGUAGCGGUGAAAUGCUUAGAUAUUACACAGAACACCAAUUGCGUAGGCAGCUUACUAGACCGACACUGACGCUGAGGCACGAAAGCGUGGGGAGCGAACAGGAUUAGAUACCCUGGUAGUCC
RNAcentral lists this ribosomal RNA (229 nucleotides) under uncultured bacterium. RNAcentral describes it as "partial 16S ribosomal RNA". It matches the Rfam family "Bacterial small subunit ribosomal RNA", at positions 568 to 796 of the family's 1533-position model. The record is from RNAcentral.